This 253-nucleotide ribosomal RNA is filed under the name uncultured bacterium. Its description in RNAcentral is "partial 16S ribosomal RNA". It matches the Rfam family "Bacterial small subunit ribosomal RNA", at positions 524 to 776 of the family's 1533-position model. The record is from RNAcentral.
UACGAAGGGGGCUAGCGUUGCUCGGAAUCACUGGGCGUACAGGGUGCGUAGGCGGUUCUUUAGGUCAGGGGUGAAAUCCUGGAGCUCAACUCCAGAACUGCCUUUGAUACUGAAGAUCUUGAGUUCGGGAGAGGUGAGUGGAACUGCGAGUGUAGAGGUGAAAUUCGUAGAUAUUCGCAAGAACACCAGUGGCGAAGGCGGCUCACUGGCCCGAUACUGACGCUGAGGCACGAAAGCGUGGGGAGCAAACAGG